Molecule: transfer-messenger RNA, 303 nt
Filed under: Candidatus Pelagibacteraceae bacterium
Lineage: Bacteria; Pseudomonadati; Pseudomonadota; Alphaproteobacteria; Candidatus Pelagibacterales; Candidatus Pelagibacteraceae
Rfam family: Alphaproteobacteria transfer-messenger RNA
About the family: Bacterial tmRNA, also known as 10Sa RNA or SsrA, is named for its dual tRNA and mRNA-like properties. Its role is to liberate the mRNA from a stalled ribosome. To accomplish this part of the tmRNA is used as a reading frame that ends in a translation stop signal.
Source: RNAcentral
AUAAUUGAAUUUUAAUUAAUUUGUUUCUAUAUUAAAUAUGUUGGUUUUCCAACUACGACGAUAAACGAAUUUCGUAAUAACCAUUACGGACGUGGGGGCAGUACCCACCACCUCCACCAUUUACAACUUAAGGGGGUGAAAUAGGAUCGACGGGUGACUAAAGGUUAUUCUUUCGUUCGGGAUUGUUCCACCGUGACGGGCUAAACUUUAAAUGCUAACGAAAGUUACGCUAUUGCUGCAUAAUUAACUUAGGUUAAUUAUAGAAGCACGGUCUGGGGCACCGGGUAACAGAACGCCCCUAUA